UAGGGAAUCUUCGGCAAUGGACGGAAGUCUGACCGAGCAACGCCGCGUGAGUGAAGAAGGUUUACGGAUCGUAAAGCUCUGUUGUUAGAGAAGAACGUUGGUAGGAGUGGAAAAUCUACCAAGUGACGGUAACUAACCAGAAAGGGACGGCUAACUACGUGCCAGCAGCCGCGGUAAUACGUAGGUCCCGAGCGUUGUCCGGAUUUAUUGGGCGUAAAGCGAGCGCAGGCGGUUCUUUAAGUCUGAAGUUAAAGGCAGUGGCUUAACCAUUGUACGCUUUGGAAACUGGAGGACUGGAUUGCAGAAGGGGAGAGUGGAAUUCCAUGUGUAGCGGUGAAAUGCGUAGAUAUAUGGAGGAACACCGGUGGCGAAAGCGGCUCUCUGGUCUGUAACUGACGCUGAGGCUCGAAAGCGUGGGGAGCAAACAGG
RNAcentral lists this ribosomal RNA (429 nucleotides) under Bacillota bacterium. Its description in RNAcentral is "Firmicutes bacterium partial 16S ribosomal RNA". It matches the Rfam family "Bacterial small subunit ribosomal RNA", at positions 355 to 776 of the family's 1533-position model. The record is from RNAcentral. Lineage: Bacteria; Bacillati; Bacillota.